Molecule: ribosomal RNA, 492 nt
Filed under: uncultured bacterium
Lineage: Bacteria
Description: partial 16S ribosomal RNA
Rfam family: Bacterial small subunit ribosomal RNA
Source: RNAcentral
AGUGAACGCUGGCGGUAGGCCUAACACAUGCAAGUCGAACGGCAGCACAGUAAGAUCUUGCUCUUACGGGUGGCGAGUGGCGGACGGGUGAGGUAUACAUCGGAAUCUACUUUUUCGUGGGGGAUAACGUAGCGAAACUUACGCUAAUACCGCAUCCGACCUACGGGUGAAAGCAGUGGAUCUUUUGACCUUGCGCGGUUGAAUGAGCCGAUGUCGGACUAGCUAGUUGGCGGGGUGAAGGCCCACCAAGGCGACGAUCCGUAGCUGGUGUGAGAGGAGGAUCAGCGGCACUGGAACUGAGACACGGUCCAGACUACUACGGGAGGCAGCAGUGGGGAAUAUUGGACAAUGGGCGCAAGCCUGAUCCAGCCAUACCGCGUGGGUGAAGAAGGCCUUCGGGUUGUAAAGCCCUUUUGUUGGGAAAGAAAAGCAGCAGGUUAAUACGCCGCUGGUCUGACGGUACCCAAAGAAUAAGCACCGGCUAACUUCGUG